This is a long non-coding RNA of Callorhinchus milii (elephant shark), 87 nucleotides long. RefSeq lists it as uncharacterized. The record is from RefSeq and is a predicted model, not a curated record. NCBI's taxonomy places the organism in Eukaryota, Metazoa, Chordata, Chondrichthyes, Chimaeriformes, Callorhinchidae. The transcript has 3 exons.
GUGAGGCUUCAAAGCAGUCAAGCCCUAGCACAAGGUUGUCGGAGAAGUCAUUAAGAGAGGCAAGGUUAUCGGAGAGGUCAUUAAGAG